UACGUAGGGGGCAAGCGUUAUCCGGAUUUACUGGGUGUAAAGGGAGCGUAGACGGCCAUGCAAGUCUGAAGUGAAAGCUCGGGGCUCAGCCCCGGAACUGCUUUGGAAACUGUAAGGCUGGAGUGCAGGGGAGGUAAGCGGAAUUCCUAGUGUAGCGGUGAAAUGCGUACAUAUUAGGAGGAACACCAGAGGCGAAGGCGGCUUACUGGACUGUAACUGACGUCGGGGCUCGAAGGCGUGGGGAGCAAAC
Molecule: ribosomal RNA, 250 nt
Filed under: uncultured prokaryote
Description: partial 16S ribosomal RNA
Rfam family: Bacterial small subunit ribosomal RNA
Source: RNAcentral